RNAcentral lists this non-coding RNA (158 nucleotides) under Alphaproteobacteria bacterium. Its description in RNAcentral is "6S RNA". It matches the Rfam family "6S / SsrS RNA". Rfam says of the family: E. coli 6S RNA was the first non coding RNA to be sequenced, but its function was unknown until recently. It consists of 184 nucleotides that fold into an extended hairpin structure with a large single-stranded internal bulge. The 6S RNA specifically associates with RNA polymerase holoenzyme containing the sigma70 specificity factor. Lineage: Bacteria; Pseudomonadati; Pseudomonadota; Alphaproteobacteria. The record is from RNAcentral.
AUCGAGCUGGGUCGCGCGUCAGGCAAGCUACGUCUCCGGGGCCAAUAACGACUUCCUAGGGAGCUGCCUCUGUUAGGAUCGUGGUCCUAAUAUUGCGGUGCCCACCUGCUUUUGCAGGCCUUGGAAGACUACAACGCCAACGGCGAUCUGGCUCUAUA